RNAcentral lists this non-coding RNA (273 nucleotides) under Hyella patelloides LEGE 07179. RNAcentral's name for it is "Intron_gpI". It matches the Rfam family "Group I catalytic intron". From Rfam's summary of the family: Group I catalytic introns are large self-splicing ribozymes. They catalyse their own excision from mRNA, tRNA and rRNA precursors in a wide range of organisms. The record is from RNAcentral. Lineage: Bacteria; Bacillati; Cyanobacteriota; Cyanophyceae; Pleurocapsales; Pleurocapsaceae.
GCAAGUGCCUCCUGAAAAAAAUCGGGCAUCCUGUAGGGAAACUUCAGGUAUGAAUGUGGUCAAAUUCAAGGAAUCCUAAGUCUAGAUAGUUUAGAUAAGGUAAUCUUGAGCCAAGCUCUAUGUCACUCUGGUAGAGAAGGUGCAGAGACUAGCCGUAGUCCAGUAACAGAGAAUUGUUAUCGAGUAACAAUGGAUACGGCACAACGGCCACCACCUAAAGACUAAUUUUUGUCUAUGGUGAAGAGAUAGUCCAGAGAGUAAGGAAACUUACAC